CUAGCUUGCUAGAUGUCCUUAGUGGCGAACGGGUGAGUAACGCGUGGGAACCUACCUUGGAGCGGGGAAUAACUAUUGGAAACGAUAGCUAAUACCGCAUAAUCCCUUAGGGGGAAAGGCUUCGGCCGCUCUUGGAUGAUCCCGCGUCUGAUUAGCUAGUUGGUUGGGUAACGGCUGACCAAGGCGACGAUCAGUAGCUGGUCUGAGAGGAUGAUCAGCCACACUGGGACUGAGACACGGCCCAGACUCC
RNAcentral lists this ribosomal RNA (250 nucleotides) under uncultured bacterium. RNAcentral describes it as "partial 16S ribosomal RNA". It matches the Rfam family "Bacterial small subunit ribosomal RNA", at positions 75 to 339 of the family's 1533-position model. The record is from RNAcentral.